Molecule: long non-coding RNA, 1746 nt
Organism: Selaginella moellendorffii
Lineage: Eukaryota; Viridiplantae; Streptophyta; Lycopodiopsida; Selaginellales; Selaginellaceae
Exons: 2
Source: RefSeq, a predicted model, not a curated record
UUCUUUGGAUCGUUCUUGCGGGGGCUGGUUUUGCUGCUCGAGCGAGAUCGAUUGGUUUUGGAUUUGGAUUGCUUGGCUUUGCUUCGAGUGAUCCACGCUUGAUAUCCUUUCAUGGUGGAAUGCAAAUCACUGAGGUACAGGCGUGGAUUACCGGCUCGUGCUUACUGAGAGAGAAAGGAUGGGAUUGCUUGCCUGAUCAUUGCGGUUUGUGGGCUUCUCAAGAUUGUGGUUUUUUUUCUUUCUUUUUUUUCCUUUCACUUUCGCUGCUGUUGAUGGUUCUGGUGAUGUUGUCUCGAGGGAAGACGCUCGCUCUCGCUGGCUGGCUGUUUUGCUGCCUGCGCUGCUUUCACUCACUCUCUCUUUCAAUGGGCUCGCCUUUGUUUGCUUGCUCCUUUUGCUUUUCUGAAUCUAUCUGUCUGCAUCCACCACUUGGUCCAUCCCUCGCUUUGGCAUUUUGCUUCCUUUGAUGUUUGCCUCUCCAACUGCAGGGCUGCUCGUUUCACUGAUCCCCACUCCAGCUUUCAUUCUCUCUUUUCAAUCGUCGCAUACUUCUCGUCCUCCUUCGCUUUCCAUGGCGUUGUUGAGAGAAAAGCCAGUGUAGUCGUUUCCAAAUCGUCCUUGUGCACCCUCCCUGCAAAUUCCCGUCCGUGACAGAAUCCCAAAGCUCGAUUCUUUCCGCCCGCAGUCAUUUCCUCUUCAUUUCGCUCAUUUACUGCAAUUCUUGGGGUUUGAAAGCACGCGUGCGUCGAGAAUUCGAUCCGAGCCGCGGAGGACUUGAGAAGCAACGUCAACAAUCGGCGCUGGGAGAGGUCUGUGUUUCUUUCCUGCGAUGAUCUUCCCUGCGCGAGUGACAUACACAUACGAUAGUUUUGAGAGGCCUCGAGGUUUUGAGCUAUGGUGUGUCGGGCUUUGGCUUGCAGGGGGAGCUCCCUUCAAUUCAACUGAGGUCGGUGCGUCGCUGUUACUCGCUGCUGACUCAUGCAUUCGCCUGACAUGCCCGCAACCAUCAUCAGAUCGUGAUCAGGACACGCCGAAAACAUGCCCGUGAUCACCUCCGCAACUCUCUGAUCUCGGCGAGGUUGAUCACAGAAUCCCCCGAGUUUGAGGCAUGGCAGCCGUGUGCAUGAUGCAGGAGCAGGUGCGGCUUCGGCUCUGAACUUCCCUUGGAUUGAAGGGAGCUCCCUUCCAGAUUCACAGCAUCGUUUUGCAACACUUCUUUGCUAUUUGUUUCCUUUUCUUGUUUCGUUUUUUUCUUUUCCUUGAGAAAAUAAACAGUUUUUGGUUCGUUUCAAGCUCGUUUGAAUUCCAGCCAUGUCAGUUGUGCAGCUUUGGGACACAGAUCCAAGUUGAAAAAGAAGGAAAAAUAAGUUUUAUUUUGCAUUGCUUGUUUCUCAUUCUUCCUAUUUUGUGGCCUAGACAAUGAAGGAAGAAUCUGUGCUGGAGGGGAGUCAUUCAAUUUGAGGGGCGAACUAUUCGGGCACAGGAUCUCUCCUACCAGAUUUCCCCUCCUGCUUGCUUUUGUUGUUUUGUUGGGGAGGAUUUAACCGCCCGCUCAACAGCUUAUACAUUUGACUUCACAGAGAGGAGCUCCUUUUCUUUCCUGUGAUCCUCGAUUUAAACAGUUUCUAGCAGAGAUUGUCGUUUCCUCCAUAAUCAAUUAGUACAAGCAAAGCAAACCCAAGCAAAGCUUGUUUAUCAUUUCUCAACAUUCCAGCAGUCAUAUAUAUAUAUAUAUAUUUCAAGCAA